This 72-nucleotide transfer RNA is filed under the name Ictidomys tridecemlineatus (thirteen-lined ground squirrel). RNAcentral describes it as "Spermophilus tridecemlineatus (thirteen-lined ground squirrel) tRNA". It matches the Rfam family "tRNA". Rfam says of the family: Transfer RNA (tRNA) molecules are approximately 80 nucleotides in length. Their secondary structure includes four short double-helical elements and three loops (D, anti-codon, and T loops). The record is from Rfam by way of RNAcentral. RNAcentral also lists the same sequence under 1 other name. Lineage: Eukaryota; Metazoa; Chordata; Mammalia; Rodentia; Sciuridae.
GGGACUGUGGCUCAGUGGCAGAGCGCUUGCCUAGCAUGUGUGAGGCCCUGGGUUCGAUUCUCAGCACCACCU